RNAcentral lists this transfer RNA (68 nucleotides) under Candidatus Fusicatenibacter intestinigallinarum. RNAcentral's name for it is "tRNA-Lys". It matches the Rfam family "tRNA", at positions 15 to 71 of the family's 71-position model. Rfam says of the family: Transfer RNA (tRNA) molecules are approximately 80 nucleotides in length. Their secondary structure includes four short double-helical elements and three loops (D, anti-codon, and T loops). Lineage: Bacteria; Bacillati; Bacillota; Clostridia; Lachnospirales; Lachnospiraceae. The record is from RNAcentral.
GGGUUUGCGGCGUUUUCAGCACUUGACUUUUAAUCAAGUUGUCCGGGGUUCGAAUCCCCGAUGCUUCA